CCUACGGGUGACAGCAGUGGGGAAUAUUGUACAAUGGGGGAAACCCUGAUGCAGCGACGCCGCGUGAGUGAAGAAGUAAUUCGUUAUGUAAAGCUCUAUCAGCAGGGAAGAAAAUGAUGGUACCUGAGUAAGAAGCCCCGGCUAACUACGUGCCAGCAGCCGCGGUAAUACGUAGGGGGCAAGCGUUAUCCGGAUUUACUGGGUGGAAAGGGAGCGUAGACGGCAGUGCAAGUCUGGAGUGAAAGGCGGGGGCUCAACCCCCGGACUGCUCUGGAAACUGUACGGCUGGAGUGCAGGAGAGGUAAGUGGAAUUCCUAGUGUAGCGGUGAAAUGCGUAGAUAUUAGGAGGAACACCAGUGGCGAAGGCGGCUUACUGGACUGUAACUGACGUUGAGGCUCGAAAGCGUGGGGAGCAAACAGGAUUAGAUACCCGAGUAGUC
Molecule: ribosomal RNA, 440 nt
Filed under: uncultured bacterium
Lineage: Bacteria
Description: partial 16S ribosomal RNA
Rfam family: Bacterial small subunit ribosomal RNA
Source: RNAcentral